This 253-nucleotide ribosomal RNA is filed under the name uncultured bacterium. RNAcentral's name for it is "partial 16S ribosomal RNA". It matches the Rfam family "Bacterial small subunit ribosomal RNA", at positions 524 to 776 of the family's 1533-position model. The record is from RNAcentral.
UACGGAGGGGACUAGCGUUGUUCGGAAUUACUGGGCGUAAAGCGCACGUAGGCGGAUUUGUAAGUCAGGGGUGAAAUCCCGAGGCUCAACCUCGGAACUGCCUUUGAUACUGCGAAUCUCGAGUCCGGAAGAGGUGAGUGGAAUUCCUAGUGUAGAGGUGAAAUCCGUAGAUAUUAGGAGGAACACCAGAGGCGAAGGCGACUAUCUGGGCCAUUACUGACGCUAAGGUACGAAAGCGUGGGGAGCAAACAGG